AUGAGAACGAGGUGUGUAACUGGUGUUGACCCAGCCCUGGGGUAUCUGGAAUGAAGAACCUGCUCCCUGUGUGACCUCAGUCUCAGAGCAUUCAAGUAUUUGGGCCUGCUCACUGUGUGGAUGCUGUCAAGUGUACCUGUUCCUGUUCUCCCUCCACCGGCUGGACAGUGCACUCUCAAACCUAUAUCUUCAGGCUGAGAAUUCCCUAGUGCUCAGCCAGACAUCCUGGAAUCUACCUAGUCACCUCUCACUGGCAAAAAAGAUCUUCAGAGAAAGAGGCAAAAGAUUUGGAGUUCGUUGUGCUGAACAAAAACUAUCCCUUUAAAAACCUAUUUGCAGCCUUGCACAACGAUGAUGGAUUUAUCGUAUAAACCCAGGAUUAGUAAACAGCUUGUACCCUGUAAAGAGCCCAACAAGUCCUUGCUCAUCGGAGUACUUAAUUGCAGUGGUUAUAUCAAAGCCACGUAAAACUUAAUCGCCAGCCACAAGCCGGCCUCUGUGCUUUAUAUAGGUGCCUCUGCCAUUGUUUUUCCACCUGCUAAAAUGAAAGAUUCUUGGAAUAUCAGAGUAUGUAAAAUGUAUUUAUGAUGCAAAUAUAGAGAUGCCCUUUCAUCUCCUCAAGCUUUGAUGUUGUGAUAUGAAGCUUCUGGUGUCCCUCCUUCCAGAUCAUCCCAAGAUGCUGUCUGGCUCCCCAGCCUUUGUGCCUAGUGUAAACAGUGAGGAGUCUGUGGUCGGGCCUCUGUGUGCAAGGCUGUCUGCAGCAUCUGCCCACUGCUGAAGACACAGAAAGACUGUCUAUAUGUCUUUCUUAAAGCUUUCCAAUAAUGAGUUGAGCAUGCAGGUCAGGGAAGCCUGCUAAGUAGGAAGUUAAACAGGGGGUUCACAAAUGGUACUACCAGAGGGUAGGUCCUCAAAGUGCUGAGAAGACGCAGGAGAAUGUACCCCAAAUAUACAUGUACGCCUCCUGCUCCCAACUUGCUCAAAAUUUGCACAUCUCAUAAUACAAUUCAGUUAAGAAGCUCACUUACAGCUUAGUUUUGGUCAAGGUCUCUCAAACUUUUAGAAAUACAGAAGCCCAGUUAUGUUCUAGACCACUUAAGGAAUGGUAAUUGAGAGCUCUCAUGUGGGCUAGGUGAGCCUAUCUGAUAGGCUCCAGGACCCUGAGCCUGUGGGGUAGACUUAGAGCUAUGGAGCUGCUAAAUUGCAGUAUACUGCAAUACUGACUGUUCAUUAAAAAUGCCCUCACUAGUAGAAGACAUCUUUCUGAGCAUAUAUGUGAAAAGUUUUAAAUCUCCUAAAAGAAUAAAUGGAAACUAUAACUAAUUUUUUUCAUUACAGAAGUUUUGAAUGAAUAAAUUUAGUUACAUAAAAGCUGCAUAAAAUACUAAAAUUUAAAUGUUGUCAACUUGAGUCUGUAAGCCCCAUGGGGGAUAAUUAAGGAGAGGUUUUAAAGGGGAAGCUUAAAUGGGAGGCCUUAAAGGAGAGGACUUAAAGUAGAGGCUUUAAAAGGGAGGCCUUAAAGGGGAGGGGCCUACAAAGCAAGCCAGAGCAUUGAGAGUGGGGAACUGAAAUGCACUAUAAAUUUACUUGUGAAACAUCUUCUCAUUCAUUUUACCCUUUCCCCCCAAUUAUCCUGUUUAAAUUAUCCUAUUUUAAGAAUGAAAAUAUUGUAGGAUACAUGAAACCAGUUACUGGUUCUGCCAUGGCAUGUGUGUGAUACUAGGUCUCAGAGAGAGAGAGGUCCUGAAUUUUCUGGAGUCAGGAAAGAAUCCAGCCACUCUUAAAUUCUCUGUUUCUCAUAGCAUUCCCCAAAUCAAGGGAGCCUUGCCUGUGGGGUACAGCACUGCCAAGAUGGGUCUUUGAGGUUCCUUUUGAGAGACGUGAUUAUAUCAUUUGGCUAUAGGUUCAUGCAAAGGACCAUCUUGUGCAUAUGUGAUCUUCUCAUUGACCAGAAUGUUUAAUUCAUCAGAACACUGUUCUCACCAGCUCCUGCAGAAUGGCAGUCUACUCUACAGCUGUUUUUGUAGCUGGAACAGUAAAGAGCCACUCGCAGUGAUGAGGGCCUAAAUCUGCUGAUUGUAGACACGAGGAAUUCACAAUAUCCCAUCAGUCACAAGGGGGACAGACAAGCUAAUUGACCCACUUAAUGAAUAGAGCUCCCCAAAGAGGGCUGUCUUUCAUGGCUUAAGUCCCAUUAAUCAACAAAUACUCAUUGGGUUCCUGCUGUGCCCUCAUGCGGAUGCUGGAGAUGCCUGGGGAGCAUGGCAUAAAUCAAGACCUGUGGCCCAGAGCAUCCUUUGAUGCUGCUGGGAAAAUGAUGGCACGUGAUGCUGCUGGAAACAUGGUCUGCUUAUGAACAUGGCUGUACUCACAGAAGAAGGUGCUAAUCGCAAAGACAGGGAAAGUAUAACACUGUGUGGAAGAAGAGGCUCACUGUUUGCACUGAGCUGGAAGUGUAAGGCACAGAACCUCGAGCAGGCUUCAGAUGCCAACAUCCAGGUCAGAAGUACAACUUGAAGAGACUUGUAAAGAACUCCCAACUCCCAAGGAAUUCAUCCAUUCUUUAGGCCUGGCCCUGCUAAGCAUGGAAUACCUGAGGACACAUCCUGCAUUUUCAGAUCAGUCUUCACUUUCCAGCUGCAUGGUCGUAAACAGUCCUUGAUGUGGUUGAACUGCUGUGGAUAUGUAUGAAUUCCCAGUAAAACUGCCAUCAGUUUGAUUGUCUCAGUUACAGUGAACAGUAAAAAUGAACCAGAUGCCGGGAGAAGCAACAAUGGAAUUGCUGAAGAAUUUGGGAGAAAUAUCCCCAAACCCAACAUUGGCAAAAUGAAGACUUCUGUUCAAUGGAGUUUUUGUUUAGUGAGCAUCCUUCAUGUGCCCAGAACUCUGAAAGUCUGGAGAAGGGUGGAAAGUCGGUGUGAGCUCAAACAGAUAGGUACUACUACCUCAGAGAUGUGUGUCCACCACUUACAGAACAUCCCCAGGUCUGUACUGCAGACAAGGCCCAAGGGUAGCUUCUUGCCUUUGCUGAGGGUAGACAGUCAUAUGGAGAGCAUCCAAGAAGAAUAUCCUGCUUGGUACUGAUUACAUAUGGGAACAGAGGGACCCAUGCCUAGGGAAAGUUGCGUUCCACAGGCUGAAGGCUCUAUUCAUUAACAGUUCCACUCACAAUUAAUUACUCAGAGUCAUGGACCUGUGUAUUGGAGAGGACACUUACUUCUGAUAUGAAUGUUAGAAGCUGGACAGCAAGUGCUAGGGUGUAUCAUGCCUGAAGGAGAGGCCCUUCUGCUUUCCUAGUCUCCCUGGUACGUUGGAGAUAAAGUCUAGCCACAAUGGAAUAUUCAUGGCUUCUUCAAGAUCAAUUGUCCUGAGUUCUCUGUGAGGAAGCAUGGAAUAAAAAUGUAAAAAAUGGAGUCAGAGAUGGCACGCUCACCACUUACCAGCAGUCUUACUGUUUGUAAAGUUUCUGAAGGGGCAUCUGGGAAAACAGGCUAGGGAGUUAGGUAGCAAUGGGGGUGGGGUGGGGUGAAGGGUGGUCUAUUUCACUGGUUGGUGUUAGAGUUGCAUGUAUGAAAGGGCUCUUCACAUGUUAACCCUAGUGUCUGUGUAAUGUACCUUUAUGUACACAGUAAAUACCAGGUCUUCCUCAUGGAGACUCAUGUCACCUCUACCUGUAUAUAGUCCCAAGGGAAGUGCAUGCAGGGAAAGCCACUUACUACUAGGCACCUAGAGGCUGCCUGAUACUCUCAGGGUAUGAUGCUACUGAUCUUUGCAGGGUGACAUGCCAUCAUGUGCAUCAGCUUCAGAUGAAGAUAUUGACAGUCCUGACUUGAUUGGCAAUGGUUCCAACAGGGUAUUUCUGAACUCACAUCCAUGUCCCAUCCCUGUUGCCAAGCAGUAGAGGGACCCUUGGGUCCCUGAAGCAUUCUCUGCACUUCUGCUCCUGCACAGCUUGACUUCUACCACCCAUUAUGGGCCUAGGCCUCCCUUCCUGGGUCCAUUCAUGAGGCCUCUCCCAGGCCAUACUCUGAAAAAUGCAUCAUAUGGUUCCAGGCAGGGCUACUCCCUUGUUCUGUGUCAUGCUUUACCACCAAGCCUAUAUUCAUAGUGGCCUGGGUGUCCCAUAUGGGAAAGGUACAAAAGUAGAACCAUUAUCUAACUGGACUCGCAGCAAUGGCAGGGAAGGCUUUAUUCUCCUCUUAAAUGGAGGUGGGGAAAGAGCCAGUGCUUAGGUAGUAAGUGGAAGGGUGUAGGGUGGCAGGGUGGGAUCUUCUUCCUGGGAUUUCCUGGGAGACCUUGGCAUGGAUUGGCCUCCUUAGAGGUCCCCACCCUAAGAUGAGCAGUAGGGCUCCUAUCUCCAUGAACUUGGCAUCUCCCUCACACAGCAAUUGAUUGGAGCUCUCUCAGUGCAGGCACCAUUGGGGACAGGAUUUGAGCUACAUUCUGGUCUUUUGAUCUGAGUAGGGCCUAUACUGGAUGCAGCAGACUGUAAGGUUUCCAAGCGUUCAGGCCCCAGGGCCAUCUUACCAUUAGGAUUUUCCCACUUGGAAUUCCAUGGCCUCUGGGAUAAAUGUCAGAGAAUAUUGCCUGGCAACAGAGCAGAUACUGAAUUACAAGACUCGGUGUGCUUAAUAAUUACCAAUGUAGUCAUACAGUUCUAGACAAAAUCGCCCCACUGUUCAAUGUAGGAUACAAAAGGAUUCAGCUCCACUUUGCUGUUCUGAGCUCUCAUUUGGGGGGGGACAAAGUAGAGCAGGAGAGGUAGGUCAGUGGAGCAAUAUUUUGGGAGUGCCAUUGGGAGCAGUUUUUCCUUGUGGCUUUUUUUCUGUCUUUGCUGGUGGAAGGCCAUCAGUGAGCUCCUUUAAGAUUGUUUAGUGGUGCCUGAGAUCAUUCAGAAACUGGAGAAAAAGCACAUAUGCAAAAGGUUUCCAUAGGAAACUGUAAAAAGAACAACUUGAAUCUAUAUAGCUCAUUAGAUACCAGUGAUUCUGAGCAAGGUGGCAUCUCGGCACGUGGAGCUGCCAUGAAAAGAUUGGAGACGGUUGUCUGCAGACUUGACAGUAGCCCAGUUAUCAAGGCAAACAGUUUGACUAUCUUAGAAGAGCAGUGAAGACUUUGGGCAGAAAACACUUUGAGUGUUUUCAUACGUGAGUGACACCAUGUAUCCAGGUUUGCUUAGGAGGAGAGCAUACUCUGGGUGGAAGGGUGAGGCUGGGGGCGAGGUGUAAACAUGCUUUAUAAGGAAUGCUCCAGGCAUGGGCUUUAUUCCCUGUUUUCCCUGGCCUGUUCCCUUAAUAACUCUUAAAGAGAGUCUCAUAAAAGAGGCUUCUUGUCCAAAGCUCUGUUAUCAUGAAACUUGCCAUUGUGAUAUUUAGAGAUGUUCUUUCUACAGUUCUAUAUGUUUAAUUAGUAGAUAUGGAAUUUAUUAAUAAUAGGAUAGGAAUAAUGACACUUGUGUCCCAUCAUGGUCAACACUUUGAGUCAGGACAAAAGACAAGUCAGCAAGGGAACAGAAGAGAAUAGUUCUCUUUGGUCUCAAGGCUCCAGCUGAAAAAGCCUCUACUGAGGUCAGGAUAGGCUGAAAGAUGAUGCAGGGAUUCCCCAGCUGGAGCUGCAGCCCCGCGAUCUGCAUUUUCUACCAGGGAAUCCUGAUGGGCCUGACACCAGCUCCAGGAUGAAUCUUUUCCCUGAUGUGCUCUGACACCUUUGCAGCUGCUGUGCCACUUCUCUGGCUGACAUCUCUCCAAGCAACAUGACAGCCCAUCCAAGCAGUGAAACAUUAUGAGAAGACUGGAUCCUCAUUGACUACUAUCCCCAUGAGGCUGAAGAUACAUUAGGCUGGCCUAGCCAUGGCCCCUAGUUAGUGGAACACUGUUGCAGAGAAAAGGCUGUAUCUCCUCUGCCUACUAGACAGACACCAUUGGAGGCAAGAAGAGACAGCUUUGGAGCCAUUGAAGCCUGGAUCUGUGCUAACAAAGACUGUGGGUGCUGUAGUCCAGAAGAGACUGGAUAAGCUGUGGACUUAUCCAGUGUAGACAGAGAUGGUACAAUCAACCAAGGAGACACGUGCCUAGAGACUCUCAGAGCUACAGGGACCACAGCAGGGUGAGUCUCUCUACUCCAUGGCUUCCAGCUACAAGAUACUAAAUGCCAGUCUGGUCUGAGACCCUGGCCUACAACUCUUGCAUGCUUCCUAAUCUGGGCAUGUCUACAGUAAAGCCAUGACACUCUCACAGAACCCUUUCUGUCAGCCACUGCUGGAGAAUCCUUGCCACAAAUAAACCAACCUGUCAGAUGUGCAGAAGUCACACUUCAAAAUUAUGGUCUGAGAUGAACACAGAGAAGUUCAUUUUUCUCCUUUGAUUGGUGAAAGGUCCAUUGGAUGCUGUCCUUUCUAGGGUUGAAGAUAGUGGCCCUAAAGGCUGUGGGUUUUUUCUUUAAGUCAGGGAGGGCUCAGGCUGCAGUGUGACUGUGACACUCUGUGGUUAUUAAGAGAAAAGGCUCUGAGCAGGUCACAUCCUGCUGUAGGGGAAGUGGACAGCAACCAACAGCUGCCUGGCAGAUGUCCUUACUACCUGUGACCUUCAUUUCCUCACCUCAGGUAAAGGGAGAUGCUACAUAAUCUUCCUCAUAAUCUUCUGCCUAUGACAGGUGUCCAUGCUGGAUGCUCUUAGGGCUUUCUGAGAUAGGGCAUCUGGCAGAAAUGUAGACAGUUCGUAUGUCUGCAUGGAGUCCGUGAAUGGAGCUCUUGCUGCAUGUUCUUGCAGACUCAAAGAUGGCCAGGGCUUCCUUGGGAAAGAACUCAUGGAGACUGCUCAUACAUCAGGACAAAUGUCAUUUCCUGAGAGAUGUGCCUAAGCCUCUGGACUUUCCAAGCGGCUUACUGGAUGGCAGAGAGUUUCCUGGCACUGAAGAGAGGUGAGGUGGGCAUUCAGAGCUCUGGUGACCAGUAGGGCUCAGGGGUUAAACUGGAUAUCUGCAACCAAGUAUAUUCAUAGCAGGCUCAGGUCAUCAUACUGCUGCCCAAGGAACUAAUCUCAGUGGCAGUGCUAUGCAGAGCCCUGGAUGGCCCAACUAUAAGGCUUAGCAAUGGCCUUUCCAGAGACAAAAGUUUGCACCCCUGCCACAGGUUGGCACAGCUGCCUAUCACACACACCUGGACCUUGGUAAUGGGAGGGCAUGAAGAAGGCUCUAAAGCUCAGAAGACAGCAGGUCAUGACUAUCCUGUGUGCAGGAAGUGGAAAGUGGGUACUGAACAUCACUACUCAUGGGAGGAGCCAGGGGACGACUGCAGUUGGUUUCCACUCUACUCUGCCUCAAUGGCACCCUUCCAUGAGUCUCUUCAGAGGUGUGAGCCAUGCCUUGUGUGAUGAAGGACUUCAUGCUGAUGCUCCUCCUUGGAAACAGUUCUAUUUGGUGAAGAGUCUCAGAAACAUGCUCCUUCAUUUACUCUGAGACUGUGACAGAGCUCACUUUUCUAUUCCUUAUUCUGGCCGUUCUACUUAGUUUAGGAACACAUAAAGCACACUAGGCUAGUGACAAGAGGAAGCCAUUCUAAAGCGUGGAUUUUAUCAAUGGUGGGAUUAUUAGUUGUUGUUUUUCUCUGGUUAGACAGAUGAAGGAGGCCUUCCCCCUUCCUGUUAAUUGCUGUGGGCAGUCAAAAACAAGCCAGCUCUGGAAGCCGUAUUCCAUGGGUCUCCAUAUCCCCUGUGAUCUGACAUGUGGAUGGCAAGAACUGGCUUAGAGAGACCGCCUAGCCACAAAAGGCUUUUCUUCUCAUGGCUGCACCAUGUCCUGAAAGGCCAGAACAGCUCCCAGGCCCAUCAAAGUGUCUGCAACUAUUUCUCCAAUUUGCUUUCUGCUUUCAAGACAUUAAAGAACACUUUCAAGUUAGGCCUCUCGCAGGACUGUGUGAAAGGAGUCCCCAAAGUGCCAUCCUCGCUAAGUUGACCGAAGGGAUUGUGUGGAAAAGCUUCAUGUUUUCCUUUUCAGCCUGAAAGGGGUUGAGGGGAUCUAGGCUGAGGAGUGAGGGGUGGGUCCCUCCCUCCCUGCUUUCAUCAUUGUGCCCUUCCCCCACCUCCCUGUUUGUGUUCCUCCCCAGUCUAGGGAGGCCCUGGGAUUUUUCUUUAGCUUUUGUUUGCCAAAGGGAGAUUCAGGGCUUAUGUAAAAACCAGCACCUAAGUCUGACAUAGUUUUCUUCAGCCCAAGGAAGAGCGCAUGGCCUCUGAGGAAGAGGUCAGCUUUCAGGCCCUGCCUUAAUUGUUGCUCUUGUAAUCCUGAGAUGUUGAAUGCUUUUUUUUUUUAUUGCAGACACAGGCUACAGAGACGAGCUUUUUUUUUUUUUUUCUUUUACAAACUAAGUGCCCCUGCUAAGCUGCUGCAUGUUUUCAUAAGACAUCACUGGGAGCAGCAGUACCUGGAGCCCUCAGUGGCUUCUGGAAAUUUGGCUUUGUCAAAACCUUUGCUCUGGUGCGAAGCUAUAGUCUUGCUGCUGGGAAUUAACUUUACAGCAGAACACCGUCAAUGCAGGUGACUCCCAGCCCCACCUCCAAAGCACUGAGCACUCUGUUGGAACCUGACAGAGCAGUGUCUGCAGAGCAGCAGGCUCCAAGGUGAGUCUUGGACAAGGUGGACAAACACAUGUCCUGAAUCUCAUUCUCCAUGGCCAGCAGACUGGCCAGCUCUGUCGUAAAGAACGGUAUUGGGCAUUGUGGUCUAGAUAGUGAAUUAUCUUGAAAAAUCUGUGGACUACUGCUGGUCGUGGGAUUGCAGCCAGGACAAACCUUCACAGAGAAGGCACCAAAAGGGCAGCUUUGGGGUGAGCUCCUUCAUUGGGCAGCAGUGUGACCUUGAGUGAAAACUGGGAAUGGUAUCUUACAGGUGUUUCACGGUAUAUGCUGGUGUCUUAUACCCAUUUGUGUGUGAUAGUUACUGAUGGUACCUGAUGUUAUCUAUUAGUAUUUCUUGGCAUCUAUUAGUGAGAGUCCUAUUCUAGCUACUUUUCUUGUUGUUCUUAUAAAAUACCUUGAAAAAGUCAAUUUAAAGAAGGAAGGGCAUUAUUUUGGCUCAUAGUCCAAAGUCUAUAAUAACAGGAAAAUCAAGGCAGCAGGAAUGUGAAUGAAGUAGCUGGUUGCAUUGUGCCUGCAGUCAGGAAGAAGAGAGCAGUGAAUAGUUAUGUUUAUUAGCUUCAGUCUGUAGUCCAGGAUGUGAGCUUAGGGAUUGCUGCUUCCCUAGUUUAGGCUGGGUCUUCCUGCUUUAAUUAACCAGGUCAAAAUAGUUUCCCAUAGACAGGCUCAGAUGCUAGCCUAGCUUCCAUACCCCUCACUGCUAUGCCAGGAAGCGAGUCUUCUAGGUGAGCUCGGGUCUGUCAAGAUAGCUAUCAGUAGCAAUCCUCACAGGGUGCAUGGAGCUGGCUGAGUCUCCCACAUGCAACCUCAUGCAUUCAGAGGAGUAGUAUCUCUACAGAGGCUGCCUGAGGUUGGUGCUUUGGCUGUCCAUGUAACCCACUAACUGAUGAAAGGGAAACAGUGUUGGCUGUUGAAUAUUUAUGUAGAUGGGUUCAUUUUGUUAACAUGAACAGCCCUGUGCUACAAAGCAGGUCUGAGUUCUAAUGCUAGCCUUAAUGCAUUUCCGAAUUUCCUUGAAUGCAAAGAAACCUAUUGCAGUUUAGCAUCUACUUUGUAAGAUGCUCUUUAUUUGCUGGAAGAAACAAAACUGCAGGAAAGCCACAGUCUAGUUAGAAAUACAAACUGCUAACAAGCAUGGACAGUUAGCAGUUGCACAACAAACACAUGGCUACAAAUCUACGUGUCUAAAUCAAAUGUGCUUCUUAUUCGAAAAGUGUGCACUGGUAAGACUAUUACUGAAAGUUCUGCUGCUAAGUCAGAAUAGUGGAUGUGGGUUCAUCUCACCAAGUACCAAGGUCCCAUCAAAACUUUGGAGCUCAUUACUCACCUCGAAUUCUUUGUCCUUCGAACCAGAGCUUACCAUUUUAAAAUUUAAAAAGUGUGUGUGUGUGUGUGUGUGUGUGUGUGUGUGAACUUAAUUUGAAAAUUCAACUUCCUUUACAUUGUGGGUAAUUACAUUUAGAUAAAAACACUCGAAAAAAACAUCUUAAGGAGGAUAGGGUUCACUUAAGCAUACCGUACAAUUCCAGGUCACAGUCCAUCACUGAAGGAAGCCAGGGCAGGAACUUGAAGCAAAAACCAUGGAGAAUGUUGCUUGCUGGCUUGUCCAUAUCCUUAUGGUUAGCUAGCUUUCUUAUAUAGCCCAGAAUCUUGUGCCUAAAUAAUGAUAUAUGGGUUAAUUUUGUUUUGUUAAUCUGACACAAGCUAGGGUCAUCUGGGAGGAGAGAACCUCACAACAUGCCUCCAUCAGACUGGCCUCUAAGGAAGGCACAGUCCACUCUAAGUGGUGGCACCCCAGGCAGGUGGUCCUGGAAGGCAUUACAAGCAGUCUGAGGAAGCUAUGCCGAGCAAGCUGGUAAACAGUGUUUCUCCAUGGCCACUGCUUUAUGUCCUGCCUCUAGGUUCCAGCUUGAGUUCCUGUCCUGCUUUUUCUCAAUGAUAGAGUGUGACCUGCUAUUUGUAAGGUGAAAUAAACCCUUCCCUCUCCAUGUUGCUUUUAGUCAUGGCAUCUAUGAUAGUAAUGGGUGUGAAACUAGAACCAAUGAUGUCAUCCAUGGUGGGCUGAUCCCUUUUGUAUCUAUUUAUAAUCAAUAUAAUACCCAACAAAUAUUUCCAUGGGCCAAUAUGAUCCUUCAUUGGAGACUUCAAUUCGUGUGUCUGUAGGAAGUAUGUGAGGUUAUUAGUUAGUGUUAGCUAGGACAGGACCUUUCCAAGGUUCUCAAAGUAUUUUGGUGUGUUCACACAGUGACCACUAAAUGUGAUAACUUGAGUCCCAACCCCUAGUUGCAUUUCUUAAAUUACAAUGAAUGUUUGCCAGCCUAGGAAUCAGAACUCUGCAGUUAUGUUCCAGAAGGUUCUUUUUAUCAGACAUGAACAAGGUAGUAGUACCCCACCUAGGGCUAAGGAAGCAAUAAUCAAGUUAGAUGACACUCAACCAGUGACAUUCAAGCACAAGGUCACACAGAAUCUCAUUUCAUCUAACUAUUACCUGAAUUUAAACAGUUAGAUGAUAGAAUCUUAGGUGUCUAAGGACCUUUGGUCUAGAUAAACAUUGAGAAAUUGUUAAGGGUAGCACUUAGGAACCUACCUUGGGGAAGUGAGGGAAACCUUUGCCAGGGUCUACUGCACAGGGACUCAGAAACAGAACUGACAUUGAGCACAUACUUUGCAAAUCUCAUAAAAUUCCAUCACUUGGAACAACUUCUGAGCCAAGUCCUGCCAUCUGAUUGCAGAUGGGAAAGCAUGUUGUCCAUGUGUAGGCAUGUGGUAGGUAAUGGAUGAAGUUGUUGGGAGUCUUCCUCUUCCUUCCUCAUGGCCUUCUCUGUGGCAUAGUCUUCCAUUUCCUCUUUGCUCACUGACCUACCACUCAUUUUCACCACGCUCAGAACAGUCUGCCUUCUACAAGCCUCCUUGGUCUUGUGAGUUGAGAGCCUAGGCUUACCCCUGUCCUAUUAGUAUCUCAGAGUGUCAUCUCGAGGACCCUCCAUAAGGUUUGCAAGGUGAAAACCACUCACAUUGCCUUCUGAUUGUGUCAGCACCUACAUUUACAGCACAAACAGUAAAGGUAGGUCACAAACUGGUCCAGGCACUGACCAGUGGGGCCAUCUAACUAUCCCCUGUGUUUAGAAUACAAAAUGGCUCCCCAAGUACUGUUUGAACACAUGGUCUUCUGUUUAGGGGCUCUGGUUGUAGAGCCUCUAGGAGGCAGGGCUUCAUCAGAGGAAGUAUGCCACUGGAGGCAGACUGGAGAUUUUACAGCACGGGCCAUAUCCUGUCCUUUUUCUGCAAUCUGAGUACGGACUUGAUGGGACCUGCCACCUCACACUUCUGCCUCCAAGUCUCCUUUGGCAUAAUGAAGUGUAUACCUAUUUAAACUUUGAGCAAAAAAAGCAACUAAAAACAAAACAAAAAAGAAAACAAACCAAAGCAAAAAAUAAAACCCUUCCUUCAACAAGUCACUUCUUGUCAGGUAUUUGGUCACAGGAAUGAGAAAAGUGAUGGAGACAUCUAAGGCCUUCAGUUCCAUAAUACUGAACAACAGACAGAACACAGUGCCAGUCACAACAACUUCCAAGGAAGCAGAGAACAAUCGUUCACGGGAGAGUGCCUAUCUCUUCAGGCUUCUUCAGCAUGAUGUGCAGGACAUGCUGGUGCAGCCCCACUGUGUGCCAAAAUGACAGGGGUCUAGGGAAAACACUGGAGGAUCAAGCAACUCCAUUUUUCCUGUGAAGGAACCAGUGAUAGAAACAAAACAAAACAAAACACAGCUCUCUGAUGUUUGGCAUCUUUUUAAUGAAUGAAUAAACCCAU
RNAcentral lists this small RNA (12437 nucleotides) under Rattus norvegicus (Norway rat). RNAcentral describes it as "uncharacterized LOC102550082". Lineage: Eukaryota; Metazoa; Chordata; Mammalia; Rodentia; Muridae. The record is from RNAcentral.